ACAGAAAAUGCAAAUAGUCUGAGCCAGAAAUAAUUGACAGAAGGCUAGUGUGGCUGCUGAACAGAGAGAGAGCAAGCAGGAAGGAAGAUCAGGGUGGAGUAAAAGACAAGACCGUGCAAAGCUUUAUCAGCUACAUCAGAUAAUUUAGAUUUUAUCCUAAUGUAGUGAGAAGGUUUUGAAGGAUCUUAAAUAGUGAUACAACAGGCUCCUUCGGGCUGCAAUGUGUAAAAUUGAAGGUGCCUGCUUCCCCUUCAUCUUCUGCCAUGAUUGUAAGUUUCCUGAGGCCUCCCCAGACAUGCGGAACUUUUUACAAACUGAAGUCAAGGAGUACCUUCAAUCAAGUCUCCCACAGGGAAAGAAAAAAAGCCAACAGAAUUACCAAAGCCCUUUCUUCUCUUUUCUUUUCCAGGAUUAUAUCAUUCUCCAACUCUCAGUCAUAAUCUAG
This 445-nucleotide long non-coding RNA is filed under the name Papio anubis (olive baboon). Its description in RNAcentral is "lncRNA (ENSPANG00000050158.1)". The record is from RNAcentral. Lineage: Eukaryota; Metazoa; Chordata; Mammalia; Primates; Cercopithecidae.